GAUGAACGCUGGCGGCGUGCCUAAUACAUGCAAGUCGAGCGAACGGACGAGAAGCUUGCUUCUCUGAUGUUAGCGGCGGACGGGUGAGCAACACGUGGAUAACCUACCUAUAAGACUGGGAUAACUUCGGGAAACCGGAGCUAAUACCGGAUGAUAUUUUGAACCGCAUGGUUCAAAAGUGAAAGACGGUCUUGCUGUCACUUAUAGAUGGAUCCGCGCUGCAUUAGCUAGUUGGUAAGGUAACGGCUUACCAAGGCAACGAUGCAUAGCCGACCUGAGAGGGUGAUCGGCCACACUGGAACUGAGACACGGUCCAGACUCCUACGGGAGGCAGCAGUAGGGAAUCUUCCGCAAUGGGCGAAAGCCUGACGGAGCAACGCCGCGUGAGUGAUGAAGGUCUUCGGAUCGUAAAACUCUGUUAUUAGGGAAGAACAUAUGUGUAAGUAACUGUGCACAUCUUGACGGUACCUAAUCAGAAAGCCACGGCUAACUACGUG
Molecule: ribosomal RNA, 497 nt
Filed under: uncultured bacterium
Lineage: Bacteria
Description: partial 16S ribosomal RNA
Rfam family: Bacterial small subunit ribosomal RNA
Source: RNAcentral